CCUACGGGCGGCAGCAGUGGGGAAUAUUGCACAAUGGGGGAAACCCUGAUGCAGCGACGCCGCGUGAGUGAAGAAGUAAUUCGGUAUGUAAAGCUCUAUCAGCAGGGAAGAAAAUGACGGUACCUGAGUAAGAAGCCCCGGCUAACUACGUGCCAGCAGCCGCGGUAAUACGUAGGGGGCAAGCGUUAUCCGGAUUUACUGGGUGUAAAGGGAGCGUAGACGGCAGUGCAAGUCUGGAGGGAAAGGCGGGGGCUCAACCCCCGGACUGCUCUGGAAACUGUACGGCUGGAGUGCAGGAGAGGUAAGUGGAAUUCGUAGUGUAGCGGUGAAAUGCGUAGAUAUUAGGAGGAACACCAGUGGCGAAGGCGGCUUACUGGACUGUAACUGACGUUGAGGCUCGAAAGCGUGGGGAGCAAACAGGAUUAGAUACCCCAGUAGUC
Molecule: ribosomal RNA, 440 nt
Filed under: uncultured bacterium
Lineage: Bacteria
Description: partial 16S ribosomal RNA
Rfam family: Bacterial small subunit ribosomal RNA
Source: RNAcentral